GAUGAACGCUGGCGGCGUGCCUAAUACAUGCAAGUCGAACGAAUCUUCUUCGGAAGAUGAGUGGCGAACGGGUGAGUAAUACAUCGGUAACCUGCCCCUGUGCGGGGGAUAACAGGAGGAAACUCCUGCUAAUGCCGCAUAGCCAUGAGCACCGCAUGGAGCUCAUGCCAAAUAUCCUUUAUGGGAUAGCGCAGGGAUGGACCUAUGGCGGAUUAGCUGGUUGGCGGGGCAACGGCCCACCACGGGAACGAUGCGUAGCCGGCCUGGGAGGGCGGACGGCCACAUUGGGACUGAGACACGGCCCAGACGCCUACGGGAGGCAGCAGUAGGGAAUUUUCGGCAAGGGGGGAAACCCUGACCGAGCAACGCCGCGUGAGCGAAGAAGGCCUUCGGGUCGUAAAGCUCUGUUGUAAAGGAAGAACGGCGCAUACAGGAAAUGGUAUGCGAGUGACGGUACUUUACCAGAAAGCCACGGCUAACUACGUGCCAGCAGCCGCCGUAA
Molecule: ribosomal RNA, 502 nt
Filed under: uncultured bacterium
Lineage: Bacteria
Description: partial 16S ribosomal RNA
Rfam family: Bacterial small subunit ribosomal RNA
Source: RNAcentral